Pocillopora damicornis (cauliflower coral) is the source of this 1233-nucleotide long non-coding RNA. The record is from RefSeq and is a predicted model, not a curated record. NCBI's taxonomy places the organism in Eukaryota, Metazoa, Cnidaria, Anthozoa, Scleractinia, Pocilloporidae.
AGAAAACAAACACAAAUCUCAUUUUAAAGAGUCCUUUCACGGCACCCCACAGCUAGUUAUUCAAAGUUAUUCAGGUGUGAUUAUAUUUGAGACAACCCUUUUGAAGCCAUAAAGCAGGUUCACUUUUGAAGCUAACUCUAAGUUCUUCAUGCCAGGUGGGGACUAGGGUCAUGAUCAUGUCCCUGAUUUGAUUGACUGGAACUUGCUUAAUUUCUUGAUGAGAUAGAUGAACUCUUUUUAAAGUGAUUCCUCAGAAAAGAAAGUUAUAGAACAAUUUUUUUGAACUUUCCUUAAAUGUUCCCUAGCAGUUUCUGUUUAGAAAGAUGCCAUUAAAAAGGUAGGUCACAGUGCUUGUUUAAGAGAUGAACAUGGCCAAACUUACCCCAUUUAGGCCUGUUCUGAUACUAAUCAUGUAUGUCAUUUCAUUGGUUUAUGGUUCAUUUUGAGGUAGCUUACCCCAUUUAGGCCUGCUCUGAUACUAAUUGUGUGUGUCAUUUCAUUGGUUUGUGGUUCAUUUUGAGGUAGCUGGAAGCAAGGGUUUUUUGGCUAACAUUUUAAAAAAACUUAAUAGGUAGAUAUUUUAGAGCGUAUGGAACAAUUUGAUACAUUAUUUGUGGAAAAUUCACCUAAUUUUAAACUACAUUGACUUAAAACAUUCCUUGAGUCAUUACUUUCAAGGUCAUAAUUUGCAUCAUGGAGUACCAGGCUUUGAACAAAUUUUCAGCUUCAUCUUUUUUUCCCUUUAAUGAAUUUUUUAAAAUUCAUCCAAUUUAUAGGGGAUAAUUUGUACACCAAUAUUAUGCAAUAAAAAUAUAGGUCACCAUGCUUGUUCAAGAGCUGAAGACCAUCCUACAUCUUUACCUGGUUCAUUUAUUGAAAAACAAUACCAUGUUCUUGGAAUGCAUGCACAUUUAUUUCAUUUUGUGAUUUUUUUUUCACAGUACAAGAUGCACAGUGCAGUAGUGAGGAAUCACCUUAAAUGACAUUCUGAUCAAGGAAGGGGAGGCAUGUUACCAGUACUACAUGGGUGUAAAAAACAAGGAUUUAAAAUUAGGGGAAAACAUCAUCAGAAACCAAUGCUUUAGAUGAAGGCCCAAGUCUCUCCUUUCCACCGGAGGCUGAAGCCUUCUGUUGAAUGGCCAAAACACCUGGGCUUUCUUUCUGGGAUUGGAGUCUGUGAGUUUUUAUAAAAAUUAUGAUUUAAACAGAAUAAAAAAGUGAUAAUACAAUCAA